Non-coding RNA from Triticum aestivum (bread wheat), 115 nucleotides. NCBI's taxonomy places the organism in Eukaryota, Viridiplantae, Streptophyta, Magnoliopsida, Poales, Poaceae. The record is from Rfam.
GUUAUACUCCCUCUGUUUCAAAUUACUCGUCGCAGAAAUGGAUGUAUCUAGAACGAAAAUACAUCUAGAUACAUCCAUGUCUGUGACAAGUAAUUCGGACCGGAGGGAGUAUUUA